AGACAGGUGCUGCAUGGCUGUCGUCAGCUCGUGUUGUGAAAUGUUGGGUUAAGUCCCGCAACGAGCGCAACCCUUAUCCUUUGUUGCCAGCGGUCCGGCCGGGAACUCAAAGGAGACUGCCAGUGAUAAACUGGAGUAAGGUGGGGAUGACGUCAAGUCAUCAUGGCCCUUACGACCAGGGCUACACACGUGCUACAAUGGCGCAUACAAAGAGAAGCGACCUCGCGAGAGCAAGCGGACCUCAUAAAGUGCGUCGUAGUCCGGAUUGGAGUCUGCAACUCGACUCCAUGAAGUCGGAAUCGCUAGUAAUCGUGGAUCAGAAUGCCACGGUGAAUACGUUCCCGGGCCUUGUACACACCGCCCGUCACACCAUGGGAGUGGGUUGCAAAAGAAGUAGGUAGCUUAACCUUCGGGAGGGCGCUUACCACUUUGUGAUUCAUGACUGGGGUGAAGUCGUAACAAGGUAACCGUAGGGGAACCUGCGGUUGGAUCACCUCCUUA
This 501-nucleotide ribosomal RNA is filed under the name Salmonella enterica subsp. enterica. RNAcentral's name for it is "bacterial SSU rRNA". It matches the Rfam family "Bacterial small subunit ribosomal RNA", at positions 1032 to 1533 of the family's 1533-position model. Lineage: Bacteria; Pseudomonadati; Pseudomonadota; Gammaproteobacteria; Enterobacterales; Enterobacteriaceae. The record is from RNAcentral.